CGGGCUGCUGCACCAGUGGGGAAUAGUGGACAAUGGGGGAAACCCUGAUCCAGCAAUGCCGCGUGUGUGAAGAAGGCCUGCGGGUUGUAAAGCACUUUCGGUUGGGAGGACUGCUUCUAGCACUAAUAUUGUUGGAAGUUGACGUUACCUUCAGAAGAAGCACCGGCUAACUCCGUGCCAGCAGCCGCGGUAAUACGGAGGGUGCAAGCGUUAAUCGGAAUUACUGGGCGUAAAGCGCGCGUAGGCGGCUAGAUCAGUCGGGUGUGAAAGCCCCGGGCUUAACCUGGGAACUGCAUCCGAUACUGUCUAGCUUGAGUACAGGAGAGGAGAGUGGAAUUCCACAUGUAGCGGUGAAAUGCGUAGAUAUGUGGAGGAACACCAAUGGCGAAGGCAGCUCUCUGGCCUGAUACUGACGCUGAGGUGCGAAAGCGUGGGGAGCAAAUAGGAUUAGAUACCCCUGUAGUC
This 465-nucleotide ribosomal RNA is filed under the name uncultured bacterium. RNAcentral describes it as "partial 16S ribosomal RNA". It matches the Rfam family "Bacterial small subunit ribosomal RNA", at positions 342 to 795 of the family's 1533-position model. The record is from RNAcentral.